AUCUCUCCGGUGGCCUAGUGGUUAGAGCGUCCGCCUCAGAUGGGUGAGGUCGUGGGUUCAAAGCCUAGCCGAGUCAUA
Potamilus streckersoni is the source of this 78-nucleotide non-coding RNA. Lineage: Eukaryota; Metazoa; Mollusca; Bivalvia; Unionida; Unionidae. The record is from the annotation of a GenBank genome assembly.